CUAAAAGACCCUCUAAGGAGUCAGAUGUUCAGUUUUUUUGUCAAACUACAGCAAUCACAAGAAUAUAAACAACAUCGGGGAAAGAAGGACAAAAGGUUCAGAUCUGCAAAUGGUCACAGAUGGCUCCGGACAAACUCGACUACACCCGAGGCAUAGGCCACUGCAUCCAGCAGGGCCUGUGUCUGGCUGAAGGAUUUAAUCCUUUAUACCCCACUGGGACUGUGCAGCAGAGGCAUCUUUACAGACCUUUUCUCAGUAUAAAGCCUGUUGUUACUUUCUUUUUCAGCACUGAAUUCUGUUCCAUGAGCAUAUCAAAGCAGGGGGCCCCGGCCGAUCACGUGGAACAGCUCUUCACAAUGCCUUUACUGAAGGCAAUAUCGGUCAACAUAAAACUACAUUCUGGCUUUAAAACUGAUGGGAUUGUGCUGGUAUUACUUUAAUUAAAUUAAGAAAAACAAGCUUACUUGAUUAAGAUUAAGCUGCUUUGCUUUUUACUGUAAUGCCGUAGAAACAACAAAAAUGAUAAAGUGACUGCUGAAAAAACAUCUGUUAGUUGGAUUUAAGCAUUUGUUCACAAGACACACUUUGUAAACUAUGUCAUGUAAAUGUUAAUCUAUGUUAUAGACGCCUGCUCCUUACUUAGUGUUGGUAUUACUGGUAUUACAUUCAUUCGUCAUUUAUAAAUUCAGCAACAUUUGGCUUGACCUGACAUUAAUCCAGUACCCACAAUGAAUUUAAGCACUUUCCAUUGACAAGAACAUUAGAAUUGCUUCCAUUUUAGUCCAUAUUCAUUCAUCCUCUUUGAGGCUGUAUUUAGGCACAGCAGUGCUUUAGCUAACUGUUAACAUUAGCCCAAAACAUAGUCAUUAAGUAUCAGACAAAUUAACAAAUGUUGACCUGUUGAUGGUGUAAGAUUUAAGUUCAAGGGAUCACUAAAGUUACAAUUAAUCCUGCAGAGACCAUGAACGUCAUUCAAUAGUUAAAGUCAACCUCAUGGGGGUGCUGGAGGUAAAGCCAGCGGAUCGCCAAAGUCAUUAGGAUCCAUCCUCUGGGGACCAUGAAUGUCUGUUGUUUGCUUCAUUGCAGCUGAACAUGUUUUGCUAUUUGGGUGUAUUAUCUUAUUUGUCUUCCCCCAACCACCAAUGUGGGGCUGCCCUCUGUUGCCACAGUUUUGAAGUAUUCUAAUGGAUCACAUUUAAUGAAUCUAAUAGAGACAUUUCAAAGACAUGACCAGCCCUGACUCUAUUUCCCAUCAUUCAAUUGGUAGAGUGCUUCCAGAAUCCUCGACACAUUAGCUUAGCAUCAGUGUCUUGCUCAAGGACGCUGACAAAGGAAAGCUUAAACCUGUGACCUUUGAGGUGUACCGCAGUCAGCAUGAGCUAGCAGCUGUGUCACUCUGCUUUAGCCUGCCUGCAGAAGCACAGAGGAGCUGCUAAUCCACUUUCCCGGUUGUUACUACAGACUCUACUGAUGCAAACCUAUGACUAAUCAUGUGUUCAUCUGAUAAACUCCUCAUAAGUCCUUCCAUACACCUCCACCCACCUUUCACUGUGAUUCUUUGCUCUUAGUAAGAAAGCAACAGUUCUAUUCAACAGA
Thunnus maccoyii (southern bluefin tuna) is the source of this 1596-nucleotide long non-coding RNA. RefSeq lists it as uncharacterized. The record is from RefSeq and is a predicted model, not a curated record. Lineage: Eukaryota; Metazoa; Chordata; Actinopteri; Scombriformes; Scombridae. The transcript is spliced from 3 exons.